Molecule: small RNA, 103 nt
Filed under: Epilithonimonas xixisoli
Lineage: Bacteria; Pseudomonadati; Bacteroidota; Flavobacteriia; Flavobacteriales; Weeksellaceae
Description: Chryseobacterium xixisoli Flavo-1 RNA
Source: RNAcentral
GCGCAGCCCGACUUGAACGGAAAUCCUUUUUUGCGUGAACUUCGAGUUCUAUUGAUAAGGAAAUCGUUGGCAAAAAAGAUUGGGAGUGGAAGGCGGAUAAAGC